AUAGACUUCCCAUCGUCACAGU
This 22-nucleotide microRNA is filed under the name Oreochromis niloticus (Nile tilapia). RNAcentral describes it as "oni-miR-10809". Lineage: Eukaryota; Metazoa; Chordata; Actinopteri; Cichliformes; Cichlidae. The record is from miRBase by way of RNAcentral.